UACAGAGGUCUCAAGCGUUGUUCGGAAUCACUGGGCGUAAAGCGCACGUAGGCGGCUUUUUAAGUCGGUGGUGAAAUCCUGGAGCUCAACUCCAGAACUGCCUCCGAUACUGAAAGGCUCGAGUCCGGGAGAGGUGAGUGGAACUGCGAGUGUAGAGGUGAAAUUCGUAGAUAUUCGCAAGAACACCAGUGGCGAAGGCGGCUCACUGGCCCGGUACUGACGCUGAGGUGCGAAAGCGUGGGGAGCAAACAGG
RNAcentral lists this ribosomal RNA (253 nucleotides) under uncultured bacterium. RNAcentral's name for it is "partial 16S ribosomal RNA". It matches the Rfam family "Bacterial small subunit ribosomal RNA", at positions 524 to 776 of the family's 1533-position model. The record is from RNAcentral.